GUGCAUGCUUCGGCAGCACAUAUAUUAAAAUUGGAAUGAUACAGAGAAGAUUAGCAUGGCCCCUGUGCAAGGAUGACAUGCAAAUUGGUGAAGUGUUUCAUAUUUUU
RNAcentral lists this small nuclear RNA (107 nucleotides) under Dasypus novemcinctus (nine-banded armadillo). Lineage: Eukaryota; Metazoa; Chordata; Mammalia; Cingulata; Dasypodidae. The record is from RNAcentral.